AUUGAACGCUGGCGGCAGGCCUAACACAUGCAAGUCGAGCGGAUGAAGGGAGCUUGCUCCUGGAUUCAGCGGCGGACGGGUGAGUAAUGCCUAGGAAUCUGCCUGGUAGUGGGGGAUAACGCCCGGAAACGGGCGCUAAUACCGCAUACGUCCUGAGGGAGAAAGUGGGGGAUCUUCGGACCUCACGCUAUCAGAUGAGCCUAGGUCGGAUUAGCUAGUUGGUGGGGUAAAGGCCUACCAAGGCGACGAUCCGUAACUGGCCUGAGAGGAUGAUCAGUCACACUGGAACUGAGACACGGUCCAGACUCCUACGGGAGGCAGCAGUGGGGAAUAUUGGACAAUGGGCGAAAGCCUGAUCCAGCCAUGCCGCGUGUGUGAAGAAGGUCUUCGGAUUGUAAAGCACUUUAAGUUGGGAGGAAGGGCAGUAAGUUAAUACCUUGCUGUUUUGACGUUACCAACAGAAUAAGCACCGGCUAACUUCGUG
RNAcentral lists this ribosomal RNA (484 nucleotides) under uncultured bacterium. RNAcentral's name for it is "partial 16S ribosomal RNA". It matches the Rfam family "Bacterial small subunit ribosomal RNA", at positions 30 to 507 of the family's 1533-position model. The record is from RNAcentral.